GGCUGUUUUUGACAAUACAAUGCACAAAUAUUGUGUACUAGCAUCAUUAAGUCAUGCUGAAUUACUGAAAUCUUCCCAAUUUCAGCAUUUUAGUUAAAUUUUAGACGGUUUCCGUGUUAAAUGAAAGUGGCCGCAUUCGUGUUCAUUCUUAAUAUUGAAAUAUAAGUUGUAUUUUAUGAUAAUACAUAACAUAUAUAAAGGUUGUGGAUGAACACGGAUGCGGCAACUUUCAUUUUUGACAAAAACAUCUGAUAAGUGACAUUUUUGGGCAUAUUUUAUAGAUUAUUCAUAUUUCAGCAAGAAUCGGAUCGUUUUUAAUGAGUAAAUCAGUUAAAAUCUUUCCCAUAAACUUAUUGAAGCAACUGAAAUAGACACUUAAGUGUUUAAAAAGUGUCUAAAAUCUUUCGUCAGAUGAACUUGAAAUUUGAGGCCAAAAUCAGCCCUUACCGGACCUACUCCUUUG
RNAcentral lists this long non-coding RNA (463 nucleotides) under Mytilus galloprovincialis (Mediterranean mussel). Lineage: Eukaryota; Metazoa; Mollusca; Bivalvia; Mytilida; Mytilidae. The record is from RNAcentral.